This 46-nucleotide non-coding RNA is filed under the name Schistosoma margrebowiei. The record is from RNAcentral. Lineage: Eukaryota; Metazoa; Platyhelminthes; Trematoda; Strigeidida; Schistosomatidae.
GCACUGCUGAAGAGUCUCAGUAUAAUACGAAACGGCCGUCCAGUGC